AAUUUGUUAAUCCUUGAGAAAAGAAGACACGAGAAGCAACGAAACCAUCAACAGAAACAGAGUCUGGAAACCCUGCCUAAUAAGUUACAAUUUUAUUACAAGCUUAAUCUCACGCCUAAAUUUGAAGAGGUCGGUCAUCAAAUAAUAAGUUUUCUAAUUUCGCCAAGCUUUGUUAUCCAUUACUCCAAACUGAACACGGGAUUGGGAAUCCAAUACGACAGUAGCUUCAUGAAGCCUGGGAAGGUUACACAAGCCGCUGCUCCCGAGCUCCUCUGCAGUUGUGAGGGGCAGCAGAGUAGCACCAAUUGCCCCCAAGAAUUACCCAAAAUUUGCCGCUUCUCCCUGCUCUUUCUUUUCUCUCUGAGGCGUUCCCAAAAUUGGGUUCGUGCCGCUGUUGAGCCAGAAGAAGAGAUUGGAUUGGAAGUUGAGUUCCAAAGGAAAAUGGCCUGGAGUCGAAAAGACGUGAUGCAGACGCUAAGAACUAGAGGGUUUCUGCGGCAGAAGUUUUAUCUGAAGAUGUUGUUGAAGCUCUCAGAGUUUCCCCUUAUUUGAGCUUUUUGGAAGCAUUUGAUUGAUUUAUGGGAUUACAGGAAACAAUUACAAAAACUUCUUUGCAAUUUAUGUUGGAGAUGCAUCAGAAGUAAAGCAUUUUCCAUUUACUGAUCAUCUGCUGCAUGGCAUAUAUGAUUCUCUACUCCGAAAUCUUUUGAUCUUGUAGUAAGGGAGUCGAGUGAACUUGAGAAGUCCAUGAAUCCACGGUUGGACAAUGUGGAGAGUCAGAGUGGCCCUAAUGAGUAUGAAUUUUAGCAGGCAGUUUGGUGUUGGUGUCAAGGAUUUUGAGAUUUAACAUUUUGCAUAUGUUAUGGAGGUGGUGCCUUUCAAGUUUCAUCUGGAUGUGCAAGAUCAACAGAUGUGAUCCUUACCAAGCAAGGAAAGCAUCAUAAAGGGACUGCAGAAAAAGGGAAGUCUCAGUGAGUGACCAUACUGGGUGAAAAUGAUGAUGACUAAAAUAAGUUGAUCAUUUCAUAUGGGCAUGGCUGUGGGGUUUGUGGCAGGAUUUUGGGAGCCUGUAGCAUUCUUUUCUUGAACAAGAUCCAGAGGCAUGUUGAGAAGACCUGCUGAAGUCCUUAACAUUGAUAAGCGGCAGGAAGAAUAAGAAGGCGAUUUCACAUCUUCCCUGAGAAGAUCAUGCACAAAACAAACUGAAAAUGUGAAAGUGACAUAUAGUCUCAUCUCUGGAUUUGUGAUCCAAGAGGGACCAAUUUUUCAGCCCUUGAUGUGAUCAGAUUGUGAUCAAAAUGUGGGCCCCUGUUAAUUUGCUGCAUUAGCAGUGUACAAUCACUCGAUUGAUUAAUCUUUUAAGAAUUUUUUGAAUGUAUUCACCAA
Molecule: RNA transcript, 1386 nt
Organism: Manihot esculenta (cassava)
Lineage: Eukaryota; Viridiplantae; Streptophyta; Magnoliopsida; Malpighiales; Euphorbiaceae
Exons: 7
Source: RefSeq, a predicted model, not a curated record